RNAcentral lists this ribosomal RNA (443 nucleotides) under uncultured bacterium. RNAcentral describes it as "partial 16S ribosomal RNA". It matches the Rfam family "Bacterial small subunit ribosomal RNA", at positions 338 to 795 of the family's 1533-position model. The record is from RNAcentral.
CCUACGGGAGGCAGCAGUGGGGAAUAUUGGGCAAUGGGCGCAAGCCUGACCCAGCAACGCCGCGUGAAGGAAGAAGGCCCUCGGGUUGUAAACUUCUUUUGUCAGGGACGAAACAAAUGCCGGUACCUGACGAAUAAGCCACGGCUAACUACGUGCCAGCAGCAGCGGUAAUACGUAGGUGGCAAGCGUUAGCCGGAUUUACGGGGUGUAAAGGGCGUGUAGGGGGUGGGGCAAGUCGGAUGUGAAAUUCCAGGGCUCAACCCGGGAACUGCAUUUGAAACUGUUUUUCUUGAGUGAUGGAGAGGCAGGCGGAAUUCCGGGUGUAGCGGUGAAAUGCGUAGAUAUACGGAGGAACACCAGUGGCGAAGGCGGCCUGCUGGACAUUAACUGACGCUGAGGCGCGAAAGCGUGGGGAGCAAACAGGAUUAGAUACCCCUGUAGUC